Molecule: RNA transcript, 3456 nt
Organism: Carassius auratus (goldfish)
Lineage: Eukaryota; Metazoa; Chordata; Actinopteri; Cypriniformes; Cyprinidae
Exons: 5
Source: RefSeq, a predicted model, not a curated record
UGCUGUAAAUCAGUGAUAGAACAACAUAAUAAUUCACGAUCUGAAGUCAGAGCCAAAGAUAUCCUCUCUGAUGUAUGGGAUGGCAACAAUAUUGAUGAAAAUAUGCUGUUCAAAACUGAUAAAGAUUCAUUAGCUUUAAUCUUGUAUGAAGAUGCUUUUGAAGUUGCCAAUCCACUUGGUUCUGGUAAGAAAAAGCACAAAAUUCUUGCCGUUUACAUGACACUUGCAAACCUGCUGCCUCACUGUAGGUCAGGCAUUGACCCUAUGCAGCUAGUUCUGCUGUGUAGGGAACAAGAUUUUAGAUUUUUUGGACAAGAUUUGGUCUUUGCAACUCUGGUAAAAGACCUUAAAGACCUGGAGGAAAAUGGUGUUGAGUUAGCGGAUGGAAAGGUGCACAAAGGUACAUUGUGUGCCACAGCUGGCGAUAACCUUGGAUCACAUUACAUUGGUGGCUUUGUUGAGAAUUUCAGUAAAAGUAAAAACUUUUGCAGAUACUGUGAAAUUGACCGCCAGACAUUUAACUCGGCUCCCCUAACAAAGGCAUUAACAAGAACUGUGGAGUCGUAUGAGCAAAAUCUUAAGGAUUUGGAUGCUGAUCAAACUGAAAUUGCAAUUGGUGUCAAAUGUAAUUCUCCCUUUAAUGACCUGAAAUAUUUUCACGUUUGCCAGCCAGGAUUACCUCCCUGUCUUGGACACGAUCUUUUUGAAGGUGUUGUGUCAUUUGACCUUGCUUUGUAUACCGAUCAUCUUGUGAAUCAGGAGAAACGGUUCACAUACACUGAACUAAAUCAUCGUAUUAACCAGUUUAAGUAUCUUGGGAAUGAUGCGCGUGAUAAACCAGUUGAGAUGACUCCUGGUACUGGGAAAUUAAGUGGACAUGCAGUUCAGAAUUGGUGCCUUCUCCGGCUUUUACCUCUUUUGGUUGGGGAAAAGAUUGUCAGUCCAACUGAAAAUGAGGUAUGGCAGUUAGUACUUCAACUCAGACAGAUAGCAGAGCUCAUCUGUGCUCCUUCCAUUAAUAUUGGUCAGAUUGCAUAUUUAUCAGUGCUAAUAGAGGAGUAUAUUGAGACUCGAAAGGUGGUUUUUCCAAAUCAUCCCCUUAAGCCAAAGCACCACUACCUGUGUCAUUAUCCUGAGCUCACUGGUCGUUUUGGUCCACUUAUUCGCCUCUGGACACUACGCUUUGAAAGUAAGCACUCAUACUUUAAACAGUGUGCGAGAAAAUUGCACAACUUCAAGAAUUUGAGUGCUACAUUGGCAGAAAGACAUCAACUUCUUCAGGCUUACCUACAUGCUGGAAGCCCUUUCCCUGAAAAUGUUGUGGCAGAGAGGGGAAUAGAGUUUCAUGUUAAUGACUACAAUGAUGACAUUCAAGGAUCUGUUGCUGGUCUUAACUUUCAGCCAGGGAAUACAGUAGCAUGUAAUGAAGUGACCGUAAAGGGAACACUUUAUAAAAAAAACAUGCAUGUUGUUUUGCAGAAGAAUGAUGAGGGAAUUGUGUUUGGGAACAUUCAUUUAAUUAUUGUACAUGACAAUUGCGAUGUGUAUUUUGUCACAAAGAAAAGUCAGUCUUUUUGUCUUAUAGACCAGGGAGUUCAUUGCUUGAAACCACAAGAUCAAGGCUACCUAUGCAUAAAUCAAGACAGUCUACUGGAUUACUAUCCUCUGCCUGAGUAUUCAUUGUGUGGCUUGUCAGUAAUUGUUCUCCAUCAUUCCUUCCCAAUUUUAGAAUAAUGUCUGGAAUGAAAGAAGUCCUGAAAGAUGCUGUACUGUUGGUGUUGCCAAGCCUAUCUCCAGAUGUAACCAACCAGCUUGUUGAGAAGCUCAUGGACCAAGGUGUCGAAGGCUUGGAUGAUUUGGUUUAUGUAAAAGAAGAUGACAUUUUGGAGUUUAUCAGACCUAUCCAAUGCAGAAAACUUCUUAGUUCAUGGAAAAAUCAAGAACAUCAGAACUGCACAGUCGUACUGCCACCUGCUGAGGUUCUCCCCUCGGUUCCCCCCGAAACAAACACUACUCUUGGUUCACCUCCAUCAAGCUCCUCAAGGCCAACAUCAAGCAGUUUAGCAUCAGCCAGUGUCACACAUUCAUGGACUGAAAAUUUCCAAGUUCCCUGGAACUUAAUGCCAGACGGUAUAAAGAGUGCUGUUGAGAAUGGACAGAGACCUUCUCCUUCUGAUCGAAGACAAAUGAUUAGAAUCCUUGCUGAUGAAAUGAGAAAACAUGACAAAAACCCCACCAGAUCACAGUGUCUUACUGUUAGUCGCAAAAUAGUGAGCCAGUAUCCAAAGUCUUUUGCUGACAUGUUGGGUGACAAGCAGGUUGGGGGUGGAUAUGAAUCUGUUUUUUCACAGCUGAAAGUACGCAUCGAGCACCUGAAUCGAACAAAUACACUAAGUCAUCAUAGGAUCCAAAGAAGUGACACCGGAACUACUAGAAAACGAAGUUCCACUGACUCGUAUGGUUGUACAAGAUGGCAGCCGGAUCUUCCACCUAGGGAAACUUAUGACAGUCUUGAAGUGAAACGUCAGAAGAUGGAGGAGAUGCAUCUUCAUGAAGGAAUCUCUGGAGCAGAGAGAGGAGACGUUUGCAAGCUCAUGGAGGAAACCUAUUGGCUUCAGCGUCACAUGAUCAAUGCAACCCCAUCCCCUACAAUUGCAGAUAUCAAAACUAAAUGGCCAUAUCUUUUCACACAGAGGCAUAUAUAUGGACAUUUUGAACAGCUUACUGACAAAAAAGUGCUCAGAUGUUUGGAAUUGUCUAUUCAGGAGUGUGGACAAAUCAUAAUUGAAUUUUUCAAAAGCAAACCAACCAGUGAUGACAUUCGAAGCAUUCUCUCCAGAGGUGAAAAUGAUGUGGAUGCUAUGGUCAUACAACUACUCCUUGCACACUUCAAAGAGAAGUUAGAUGGGGUUUUCCUUCAAGCAGAUGAAUUUGCAACUCCAUCUGAUGUCCAGCAUUCUCUUAAUUUGCCAGAGAGUCCACGCCUUAUAUUUCUUGGUCAAUCUCUGAGCAACCAGUGCUGGAUGUUGAGUUUGGAGGGUCAAAUUGUGUGUGAAGGAGCACAGCCCAACUUCAUCACUGGCCUGGCAGCGCUGUUUGCCUCCUUCUAUAACUUCAAUUUACAGUACCAGGAAGAGGCAGCAUGCACCCUUGAGUUUGUUCAGAGACGCUUUGUUGACAUCAAUCCUGAACGUGGAUCAAAAGCAAAAAAAGGAAAAAUGACUUCAAAGAAAACUGGCCAAGUCGUGCAAAAAAAGAACGCAACUGUAAGCCCACCAGUUUCCUCACUUCUGCGAAAACUUGCAGACUUUGAAUGGAACUUUGUUUAGAACCUGUCAGCAAGUACAUUCAAAGUAAUUAAGAUUACUGCGUCGUUAAUUCCAUUUAUAAAAAACCAACUGCCAUUUCAGUCAAUUUGAGGUUCUAUUCUUUUUUUUUUUUUUUUUUUUUUUGACU